UUGCUAAUGUCAUGCUUUAUUUGUCUCUUUUCCUUUCAAAAAACUGAAGUUCUUUCUUUCAAUUAAUGCAUUUUGCUUAUAUUGUGGCUUAGCUGGUGAUUAGUUUCUGUCAGAAGACAGCCUGGGGGUUCUCUCUAUAGACAUUGAAUAGGAAAACGCAAGGGGAUGGCUUUCCGCGACCUUGUAGUUGAUACCUGAAUUCUCUCCUUCAAUUUCCAUUCUAUUCCUCGUAAUUAAUUAAUUAAUUAUUUAUUUAAUUUAUCUGUAUUUGAGGUUGGUAAACAAUAGUAUGGAAGGACCCAGCGUAUAAUACAAAGAUACUUGAGUUCUAAUGUAUUAUUAACAGCAAGCCAAACCAUAUCUUACCUUCCUGAAGAUGAUCAACAAUUACUGCUCUCUCUUAUGUAACCCCACUUGGAACAAUGACCGAGAUCACGAAAAUUAUUAUCAAGCGUGAUCUUACGACAUAAGCAAUGGAGUACCUGAAAUCCUCAAUCAGUAUCUCCAUAAAGUGCAAUAUAUAAACUUUGAUGCUUGAAAGAAUCAUGAUACACACACCUCGGUUGGCAUGUCUUCUUCCGCAGCUUUUUGGAAGACUAGCUCAAUUGUCUCAGAUGAGUGUCAAUGGUUUGAUCCAAGAACCCUUCUGUCUCAGAAACCACCAAGAAGAUAUUUCUGUUUUAAGAGGUGUCUCGCAUGCUUCCCUGACCCAAACAUGAACAAAUUAAACAAGACAUCUCAUAGCAAAAUAAAUAUGGAAACAGUAGACCCUGAAGGUAAAAAAGUCUAAAACUCACAAUGACCGCAUACUUCAAACUUUGUACUUCCCGUGAUCGCUCGCUCCCACUCCCACGUAUUUUGUUUUUGCAAGCUCCUACCAGAUCUCUUCUACCAUCUAACCGGUGCUUGCAAGAUCUAACGCCUAUGCAUGAAAGUUUUUAAAGAAACCAUCACACACUUAGGAGGAUCAAUAACAAAGACCUCUGCCCAUAAUAUGUCUAAUGAGUUAUAACCAUCUCAAGUUCCACGAUCCUCUUCGUGCAACCGUGCUUCCAGCCGUAUUUUCUUUUAAUUUUUUUGGGAUCUGACAAAAUCAAAUUGGUCUUGUGGGUUAUAACACCCUCUGAUUAUUUUAAUUCAAUCGUCGGAAGUUCUUUUGGCAUAUAAUAUAAUAAGAAUAGUAAUGAUAAACUGUCAGCAGGCUCUUUUGAUUAAGAAUAUACAAGAAUUAGUCUUGGUUUAUGAACCACAACUAACAAGCAUUUAAUUAGCAACUCGAUAUGUA
Molecule: long non-coding RNA, 1285 nt
Filed under: Carica papaya (papaya)
Lineage: Eukaryota; Viridiplantae; Streptophyta; Magnoliopsida; Brassicales; Caricaceae
Description: long non-coding RNA (CPAP_LNC012115)
Source: RNAcentral